RNAcentral lists this transfer RNA (78 nucleotides) under Acidobacteriota bacterium. RNAcentral describes it as "Acidobacteria bacterium tRNA-Glu". It matches the Rfam family "tRNA". From Rfam's summary of the family: Transfer RNA (tRNA) molecules are approximately 80 nucleotides in length. Their secondary structure includes four short double-helical elements and three loops (D, anti-codon, and T loops). The record is from RNAcentral. Lineage: Bacteria; Pseudomonadati; Acidobacteriota.
ACUCGGUUGGCAGAAGUCAGGUUAUCUCGCCACCCUUUCAAGGUGGAGUCACGGGUUCGAAUCCCGUACCGAGUACCA